RNAcentral lists this ribosomal RNA (433 nucleotides) under uncultured bacterium. RNAcentral's name for it is "partial 16S ribosomal RNA". It matches the Rfam family "Bacterial small subunit ribosomal RNA", at positions 29 to 507 of the family's 1533-position model. The record is from RNAcentral.
AGCGAACGCUGGUGGCAGGCCUAACACAUGCAAGUCGAACGAACUCUUCGGAGUUAGUGGCGGACGGGUGAGUAACACGUGGGAACGUGCCUUUUGGUUCGGAAUAACUCAGGGAAACUUGUGCUAAUACCGAAUGUGCCCUUCGGGGGAAAGAUUUAUCGCCAUUAGAGCGGCCCGCGUCUGAUUAGCUAGUUGGUGAGGUAACGGCUCACCAAGGCGACGAUCAGUAGCUGGUCUGAGAGGAUGACCAGCCACACUGGGACUGAGACACGGCCCAGACUCCUACGGGAGGCAGCAGUGGGGAAUCUUGCGCAAUGGGCGAAAGCCUGACGCAGCCAUGCCGCGUGAAUGAUGAAGGUCUUAGGAUUGUAAAAUUCUUACACCGGGGACGAUAAUGACGGUACCCGGAGAAGAAGCCCCGGCUAACUUCGUG